CACUAACCUCUCCCAGAAUCAGAUCACAUGGUGUCUCCAGGAGGGACUCUCCCCCCAGCAACCCAACCUCUACUGCAAAUCCAAACUGGCUCUAGUGUCAGAUCCUCCUGUCUCCCGUCUCCCUGCAGCCAGCUAAUGCUAAAAUAGGAGAGUGGAGCAGUGUGGUCCACUUUCCCCCUGGAGUGUUGCAGUGAGGGAUGGAAUCCAGCGCGCAGGCGGGCAGGGCCCGGGCCAAACUGAGCAGGAUUCCUGACACCAGGUUUCUAAGACAAGGUUCCUGAGACAGGGUUCCCACGUGAUACUGUGUCAGAUGUUUUGGUCUGGACUGACACUGGAGACCAUCAUUAUUCAUGGAGGCCAGAUGCAACAGGAACUAUAUCUUCACUACGCCAAAGACAUAAGGUCACAGUCUGAGGAAGAACUUUUGACCUGGUUUAGAAGGAAAAUGUCAUUGCCUAUUAAGUGUCAUGUGAACCUCGGGAAGAGAGAUUCACAAGCCAGAAUAAGUGGCCCUGUGCAGUGUCUGCAAGUUCAGUUCAUUGAUUGAUUUAAUCAAAUUAACAAAUACAUUUGGUAUACUGAAAAAUGUGGUCGAAAUGAACAAUGUUCGGAAUAUGAUCUGAAUAUAGGCUGGGAAAAAUACUAGUAAAGUUUAGCCUAUGGUUCCACCCCUUUUUUCAUGUGCAUGGCCCAUUACAUUAAUCUAAUCAUGCUCUGAAAUCCCCCCCUGGUCCUCUCUAAAAACCUGUAAAGUCCCAGGGGUCAGGUUUUGACUGGUGGGGUGGGCGUUGCUGGCCGGGGCCGUGGGAUGCUCUGGGCCCUUGCCAAAGCAUGCCAGGCAGCUGGGUGCACAAAGAUAUAGCCCUGCCAUUGUAUGUAUGUGUCCAACAUUCACACAGCAGGUCCAAAAUAAUCAAGAGGAGCCUGGUGAUACGUUUCUAUUAAUGAAGCAGUAGAUUGUGUCUUAACAAGGCAAAGCCAGCAGAGUUUGAACAUGGCUGCCUGCUAUUAAACCUAACCAUGACCCUAGCACUGAGAAGGGGCAAGCUUUCCUCAGACUGCCAGGAAGGCCUGCGUCUUAAACCUGAUCCUCCUAAGGUCCAGAGUUCCCAGUCUGACGGAGAAGGAAAGAGUGGGGUUGAUAGGGUUACUAGGUUACCACUAAAGUCAGUCAAAGUCAGUGAAACACAAAUAAACAGCUCAGAAAAUUGUUAGCUGCCAAAGGUUGUCUGUCAUUGGGUGGGCUGCUCCACAGUUGUGCUUGGCUUUGGGUUUCAUGUACUGUAUGUUAUAGAACUUGCCCGUGCCCGUCUGACCGGCAUGCCAGGCAAAAUAAUUCUCUAAAAAUACCAACCACUGUGUACCCAACAUUCCUCGGCAAGUGUCUGUGGUAGUUACAUGUGCUGCUGUGUUUUUUGUAAAUCACAAGCAUUUAGCACAGUCCUAGUUUGUACAUGUUAUUUGUAAUAUCUUGAUACACAUAAAGAUAUAUGACUGUAUUAUACACCUCACUAGUAUUAUCUAACGAUACAUACGUGUGACACUUUGUGCAUAGUCCCUUCAAAAGAAUUCAAACUCACUGGACAUUUUCUAAAAUGUGUUGUGUUACUGUCUGAAUUUAAAAUGGAUUAAUUUGAGAUUUUACAAUAUUAUUUGACAAUUAUCAAUAAAAAAUUUAAAUCUUCA
Molecule: long non-coding RNA, 1686 nt
Organism: Esox lucius (northern pike)
Lineage: Eukaryota; Metazoa; Chordata; Actinopteri; Esociformes; Esocidae
Exons: 2
Source: RefSeq, a predicted model, not a curated record